RNAcentral lists this ribosomal RNA (192 nucleotides) under uncultured Bacteroidota bacterium. RNAcentral's name for it is "uncultured Bacteroidetes bacterium partial 16S ribosomal RNA". It matches the Rfam family "Bacterial small subunit ribosomal RNA", at positions 335 to 524 of the family's 1533-position model. The record is from RNAcentral. Lineage: Bacteria; Pseudomonadati; Bacteroidota.
ACUCCUACGGGAGGCAGCAGUAAGGAAUAUUGGUCGAUGGACGCAAGUCUGAACCAGCCAUGCCGCGUGGAGGAUGAAGGUCCUCUGGAUUGUAAACUUCUUUUAUCUGGGACGAAAAAAGGUCUUUCUAGAUCAACUGACAGUACCAGAUGAAUAAGCACCGGCUAACUCCGUGCCAGCAGCCGCGGUAAU